UUUCUCAUUUAACAGCUGCAACAAUAACAUACAAAUAAAUUUACUGAUCAAUAAGGGAUGUACUUUCACGGGCCUCAAGAAGGUUAGCAGGAUUAAAUGAAGCAAAAAGGAUGGAGCCCUAAUUCAAUAGGAAUGAUGUGAUUAUAAGAAGAGAAAGAGACACCAAAGCACAGAGGCAAGAUGGUGUGAGGACACAAUGGGAAGGUGGCAUCUGCAACUAAGGAGAGAAGCUUCUGGAUAAACCAAAUUUGCUGACCUCUUAACCUUGGACAUCCAGUCUCUAGAACAGUGAAAAAAUUAAUUUCUGUGGUUUAAACUACAUAGUCUUUGCAACUUUGUUAUGGCAGCCCUGGCAGACUAUCAGAAAUGCAUUAAGAUGUUCACAAAAAGAAAUGUACAAAAUGUUCUUAGCAACAUUCUUGUAUUUGGUUAUUCUGAGAAUAACCAAAGCCUAAAAACAGUCCAGAUGUCCAUCAAGUGUAAUUUGUAUAAAUUAUGUUUAUUUAUUCCAAACAAUGUAAUUUGGCAAUGAAAACUAACAGAUUACAGCUAGACACAGCAACAGGAAUAAAUCACAAACAUAAUGUUGAGCCAAAGAACUAAGUACAGAUGAGUACGUCUUGAAUGAUUCUAUUCAUAUAAAGUUAUGAUGAAUCAGUCAAAAUGAAUCUGCUGUGUUAGAAAUCAGGAAUCAGGAGACUGGUUACCCUUGGGGGUCAGUAACAAAAAGGGAGUGAAAAGGGGCUUUCUGAGAUGUUGCUAAUAUCCUGAUCCUCAAUUUCAGUGAAUGCUGGUUACAUGCAUAUGUGUCUUUUGUGAAAAGCCACAGCACCAUCACUUAUGCAGCUUUUUGUGUGUAUAUUAUACUUCAAUAACAACAAGCAAGUGAUAGAUCUGGGACUCAAACCCAGGCUUUGAGGCUCCAAAUCUCUUGUCCUCUCAUUAUAUUGUUUAAAUGGUUUUAUAUUCCAAUUAUAUCAGAUAGUUUUAGAUAUCUGUAUCUAAUUCUUU
RNAcentral lists this long non-coding RNA (1011 nucleotides) under Homo sapiens (human). RNAcentral's name for it is "non-protein coding LINC01069:5". Lineage: Eukaryota; Metazoa; Chordata; Mammalia; Primates; Hominidae. The record is from RNAcentral.